AAUUGAGCUAUUUCUGUUUGAUUUGUUAGGAGAUAUGUUUUGUCCGUUUACAAGUUAACAUUGCUUGUGUUAUUCUUGGCAAGUAAUCAUUUCUUAUAUAAAUUUUUGUACACUUUAGGCUUAUCUUUUUUAAAUUUUAGGUAGCGUGUGGAGAUUUCAUCUUAUGUUCAUGAGCGCACAACGUUUAAAAUCAUAAGAAAUGUUUUCUGGUGGUGUGUAGCAGUUAACCGCAUUUAAGUAAAAAUAUUUUAAAUAAUUGUUACCAGAGCUGAAUUACAUUCAGGCUUGUGGAGAACAGCUUUUUUUUUAUCUACUCUGUGGCUGGCCAAUGUAAAUAAGCAAUGAUUUCAUGAAUGCAGCGAGAGAGUUUAUUUGAUGUAUUUUAAAAUCACUGAUAAUAUUUAUUGAUGUAUUUUAAAAUCACUGAUAAUAUUUAUUGAUGUAUUUUAAAAUUACUGAUAAUAUUUGUUUUGUGGCUGGAAGAUGGUAACCAUGGUGACUUGUGAAUUUUUAUGAAGAUUAAUAAAAAGCAGUAAAAAUUAUUAA
Bacillus rossius redtenbacheri is the source of this 546-nucleotide long non-coding RNA. RefSeq lists it as uncharacterized. The transcript has 2 exons. Lineage: Eukaryota; Metazoa; Arthropoda; Insecta; Phasmatodea; Bacillidae. The record is from RefSeq and is a predicted model, not a curated record.